UCGCUUUUGCGUUGGUUUGACAUUUAGCAAAAACAAUAAGAAGAAUCAUUUCAUCCUGCUGCUGAAAAAAAGGGAAAUUCAUACGUAAACAAAAAUCUAGUAGUGGGUGCAGUACUGUAUAUUCCAGGUAUGUGUGAGUAAAAACUAAAUAUUGACUUAGAAUAAAGCACACACUCGUUUGUGAACUUUUCCAUCAGAUGGAAACACUGGAGAACAAAUGUUUGAAAGUAAAAGAUUUAUCAUUAAAAAGUGUCUCAAUCUACUUCCAGUCUCCUCAGCUUUUUUUUUCUUAUGACCAAAUGAGAAGUCAUUUAAAAACUAGAGCAACAAUUUACCAAAAUUAAUUUAGAGGAAGAAUAAGCGCUGAUGAAAAAGUUCUGCAGCCAUAAAGCUCAUCUCAAAUCUCAUCCAGGGCUUUGACGGAGCCGUCUCUCAAUCUGGAGCGACUUUAUUACAGCAAAUCAUUUAAAUGAGCUUCAUCUGCAUCGCUCCCUCAGCAGCUGUACGAAGAAGACGGCGCCGUACGGGGGCAGACGGGAGAUAAAUCAGAGCCAGUGAUCCCAACAGAACUGCAGCAGAAUCUGAUUUGAUUUUGGAACGUGCCUCUGGAGGUCGACAGACCAGACGCUUCAGUUACAUGUUCUUUGUCUAUCAUUGAACGUUUAUCAGGUAUUAUGUCACAUAAAUCAAGGAUUGGACGGUGGAAUGACUUGGAUUCACGGUGAACAUCAUUCAUUCAUUCAUUUAUGUUCAGACUUUGUCCUAACUUGGAAUUCUGGGUAAAAUCUGGUGAGGCUCCUGAACAGAGAGCUUGAUUGGAGCUGAGCAGCAGCAGCUGUGACACAGCAGCUCAUCUGCAGCUUGUUUCACCAUCAGUCUCCAUGUGCAGGAGACGGCAGACCAGAGCGCCCUCCACUGGGCCUGAUCGUGGUUCAACCCUGAGUGGUUGACAGGUACACUGUGUUCGAGGGUGAGGGGCCUGUGAGCUUCAAGGAACUGAAACGAUCGACCUCUAGUAAACCCCCGGGAUCGAACAGUUGAUGUUUCUGCUGUAAGCUGACACGCCGACGCCAUUUUUAGCUCUGCGGCUCAUGCCAGUGGAGAGCAGACUUCUCCGAUCUGACCUCCUGACCCCAGGCCACAGCUCAGGU
This is a long non-coding RNA of Cynoglossus semilaevis (tongue sole), 1151 nucleotides long. RefSeq lists it as uncharacterized. The transcript has 5 exons. NCBI's taxonomy places the organism in Eukaryota, Metazoa, Chordata, Actinopteri, Pleuronectiformes, Cynoglossidae. The record is from RefSeq and is a predicted model, not a curated record.